UACGUAGGGUGCGAGCGUUAAUCGGAAUUACUGGGCGUAAAGCGUGCGCAGGCGGUUUUGUAAGACAGGCGUGAAAUCCCCGGGCUCAACCUGGGAAUGGCGCUUGUGACUGCAAGGCUAGAGUACGGCAGAGGGGGGUAGAAUUCCACGUGUAGCAGUGAAAUGCGUAGAGAUGUGGAGGAAUACCGAUGGCGAAGGCAGCCCCCUGGGCCGAUACUGACGCUCAUGCACGAAAGCGUGGGGAGCAAACAGGAUUAGAUACCCUGGUAGUCCACGCCCUAAACGAUGUCAACUAGGUGUUGGGUGGGUAAAACCAUUUAGUACCGUAGCUAACGCGUGAAGUUGACCGCCUGGGGAGUACGGCCGCAAGGUUAAA
This 376-nucleotide ribosomal RNA is filed under the name uncultured bacterium. Its description in RNAcentral is "bacterial SSU rRNA". It matches the Rfam family "Bacterial small subunit ribosomal RNA", at positions 524 to 898 of the family's 1533-position model. The record is from RNAcentral.